This is a long non-coding RNA of Haliotis rufescens (red abalone), 861 nucleotides long. RefSeq lists it as uncharacterized. The record is from RefSeq and is a predicted model, not a curated record. NCBI's taxonomy places the organism in Eukaryota, Metazoa, Mollusca, Gastropoda, Lepetellida, Haliotidae. The transcript is spliced from 2 exons.
GGUUUUCGAUCUCCGUAUGUUGCCAGGUAGGCUACCAUACUACAGAAUUAUAUUUAACGAUAUUGAACUGUAUUAUGUUAAUAAACGUAGUGUAAGUAUAUGAUACUUGUUUCUCUGACACUUUUUGGCAAUGAGAGAGAAUAAAAUGGUGAUCGAAAACUGAACGAGUAAGUUCCAGUGCUCGCUACGAAAUCGUACUGUAGCUAGAUCUAUAUAAACAGCGCUGCGAUGAAGAUGUGAGUCGUAACUACAAUGCCUGUCUAAUAUAUCUGUUCCCGUUUGGAAAAGGUCCCCAACAAACCAUGUUUGUACUAACAUGAUUGUGUGUCAUUGUACUCUGACAGAGGUUGUGAGACGUGGCUCACUAUAAUAAUCACUGGUUUGCCUGACCGGUUUGUCAGACCGGUGUAUCUGUAAAACCAAAUUACAUUAGGUGGGGUUUUUUUUAUGAUGGUACUCAUAAUUUUGUUACUUAUAUCUGUAGUCUGAGUUUAUUUCCGAUCGGACAUUAUACAUGAAGACUUUAGAUUUACAGUUUUCCUAAAUUUUAGGCAAUUAUACAAUGUAUGUUAUCUUUUUGUUUAGACUACAGAUCUAAAUGUAUGCUUAUUGACUAUAGUUUUAGUUUUGACUUUUUUAAUAUGUUGUCGUUGCAGCAAGGGGGAAAAUGUUACACGACCAUUCCAGGAGAUAAAAUCAAGAAUGUUGAAUCAUUGAGGAACACACCAAAUAAACCCUGGGCUGUGAAUUAUGUUAACGGAAGUGGAAGUGAACACCAAAGAAAGAAGAUUCUGGCAUUCAAUAAUUUCGAAUAGUGUAUAAAUUUUCUAUAAUCUAAAAAUAAUAAAAUGUCAACGCAAA